This 62-nucleotide transfer RNA is filed under the name Galerucinae sp. 846596. RNAcentral's name for it is "tRNA-Glu". Lineage: Eukaryota; Metazoa; Arthropoda; Insecta; Coleoptera; Chrysomelidae. RNAcentral also lists the same sequence under 2 other names. The record is from RNAcentral.
AUUUAUAUAGUUUAAAAAAACAUUAUAUUUUCAUUAUAAAAUUAGAAUCUUUCUUAUAAAUA